UGUGGGAGCGAGCCUGCUCGCGAUAGCGGAAUGUCUGUCACGCAGAUGUUGAACAGACCGCCGCCAUCGCGAGCAGGCUCGCUCCCACA
RNAcentral lists this unclassified non-coding RNA (89 nucleotides) under Pseudomonas mediterranea. Lineage: Bacteria; Pseudomonadati; Pseudomonadota; Gammaproteobacteria; Pseudomonadales; Pseudomonadaceae. The record is from RNAcentral.